AUACGGAGGAUGCAAGCGUUAUCCGGAUUUAUUGGGUUUAAAGGGUGCGUAGGCGGUUUGCUAAGCGGGAGGUGAAAUGCCGGCGCUCAACGUCGGAAGUGCCUCCCGAACUGGUGGACUUGAAUGACUCUGCCGUGGGAGGAAUGUGUAGUGUAGCGGUGAAAUGCUUAGAGAUUAUACAGAACACCGAUUGCGAAGGCAUCUCACGAAGGGUUGAUUGACGCUGAGGCACGAAAGCGUGGGGAUCAAACAGGAUUAGAUACCCUGGUAGUCCACGCAGUAAACGAUGAUGGCUAACCGCUGGGCUUAUCAGUUCAGUGGCCAAGCGAAAGCGAUAAGCCAUCCACCUGGGGAGUACGACCGCAAGGUUGAAACUCAAAUGAAUUGGCGGGG
RNAcentral lists this ribosomal RNA (393 nucleotides) under uncultured bacterium. Its description in RNAcentral is "partial 16S ribosomal RNA". It matches the Rfam family "Bacterial small subunit ribosomal RNA", at positions 523 to 918 of the family's 1533-position model. The record is from RNAcentral.